Molecule: long non-coding RNA, 696 nt
Filed under: Gallus gallus (chicken)
Lineage: Eukaryota; Metazoa; Chordata; Aves; Galliformes; Phasianidae
Source: RNAcentral
GGGCACUAUACAAGGCUUGGGAUUUGGCAAUACUGCAUUUCACUACAGUUUGAAUAUUUGGGGUAAUUCCCUCCAGCAGGACGAUAUUGACACCUCCUAUGUGAGCAGUGGCACAUGUCUCCGUCAUCUUUUGAUGUAGUACAUCUUUCAUUUUUUCUUUCAAAGUGAAACUGCCAUGGAUUCUCUUCAGCUCUGAUUCCAUCGUCAGACCACCAAUAUCUGCCUCCAGGUGGGUUCGAUUCACCAUGCCUAUCCCAAAGACUAUGAGAGUCACAUGCUGUGGCUCCGAAGUCACCAGACUGCGCUUCCUCUGCACGUCUCUGCCAUUAUCCUGUUCAUUCUCAAACACCACUCUGCAAGCAGGUUCAGUUGGGCUUCGAACACCUGUUGGCCCAAACGUUUCAGAAGACUUUUCUAAAAUCCCAGUUGGAUCAGAAAUGAGUGAAUAGAAGUUCAGUAGUUUAUACAUAUUUUGCCAACACUCAGCAGAAGGUUCACUCUGUUCUGACACGGUAAUAGAGUCAGAGUCAUCCAUAUGAAUAGUCAUGUCGACCACAUCUUUUGAGCCUUUCCUGGACACUUUAGAAGUUCUUCUUUCCGACCUGCCCAGGGAAUUCUUGUUUCUAGACUCUUUUUUAUUGUUCUCAUUGUUUGCUCGUUUGUUCUUAGUGUUGUUCACUCUGUUACCUCCAUUAA